UUUUCUUAUCACAAAGUUAGUUCGUCUUUGUGUAUGUUUAAAUUUAUAUUUUUUUAUAGUUAUUGUGCUGUUUAACUUUCUUAUAAAAGAGAGUGAGGAAUUAAAAAGGUGGCCACCGAACAGAAAGUUAAACUGCAAUAUACUAUAAUCUUUUUAGUUCAUGUUUACAUUUUUAACUGAUACAUUAUGAAUAUAAAAUUUCAAAUUAAUUUAAAUUCAAAAAUAAAAGAACACCAACAUAGAUUUCUUAAACAUUAAAAUUUUACUAUAAAUUUAAAUUACAUUUAAUCAGCACAUUAGUUGAAGUUUUAUAGGAACCGAACAUUUGGCUGGAUCAUGGACUACCCACCGACGGAGAAUUUGUCAUUGAGCUGAAGGAAAAUGUGUCAGCACUCGGCUUCGUUUCAACCCGGAGGAAGAUUGGCAGCAUUAAUAAGAAGCUCAUCUUAAUGUCAACUGUCCAAAUGAAGAAGAAUUUGUCAUUGAGCUGAUGGAAAAUGUGUCAGCACUCGGCUGUAUUUCAACACGGAGGACGUCUAGCAGCAGCAAAAAGAAAUUCAACUGAUAAUCAACUGUCCAAAGGAUUUUGAAGAAGAAUUUGUCACAAAGCUGAUGGGAAAUGUGUCGGCACUCGGCUUCGUUUCAACCCGGAGGAAGAUUGGCAGCAUCAAAAAGAAGCUCAUCUUAAUUUAGUUGUCCCCCCCUUUACGCAUUA
This is a long non-coding RNA of Rhopalosiphum padi (bird cherry-oat aphid), 715 nucleotides long. RefSeq lists it as uncharacterized. The transcript is spliced from 3 exons. The record is from RefSeq and is a predicted model, not a curated record. Lineage: Eukaryota; Metazoa; Arthropoda; Insecta; Hemiptera; Aphididae.